UUGAAAGUGUCGUAUCUCGGA
RNAcentral lists this non-coding RNA (21 nucleotides) under Arabidopsis thaliana (thale cress). Lineage: Eukaryota; Viridiplantae; Streptophyta; Magnoliopsida; Brassicales; Brassicaceae. The record is from RNAcentral.